Molecule: ribosomal RNA, 405 nt
Filed under: uncultured Clostridiaceae bacterium
Lineage: Bacteria; Bacillati; Bacillota; Clostridia; Eubacteriales; Clostridiaceae
Description: bacterial SSU rRNA
Rfam family: Bacterial small subunit ribosomal RNA
Source: RNAcentral
UGGGGAAUAUUGCACAAUGGGCGCAAGCCUGAUGCAGCAACGCCGCGUGAACGAAGAAGGCCUUCGGGUCGUAAAGUUCUUUUCUCGAGGAAGAAGAAAUGACGGUACUCGAGGAAUAAGCACCGGCUAACUACGUGCCAGCAGCCGCGGUAAUACGUAGGGUGCAAGCGUUAUCCGGAAUCACUGGGCGUAAAGGGUGCGUAGGCGGUUAGACAAGUCAGAAGUGAAAGGCAGUGGCUCAACCACUGUAAGCUUUUGAAACUGUUUAACUUGAAUGCAGGAGAGGCAAGUGGAAUUCCUAGUGUAGCGGUGAAAUGCGUAGAUAUUAGGAGGAACACCAGUGGCGAAGGCGACUUGCUGGACUGUAAUUGACGCUGAGGCACGAAAGCGUGGGGAGCAAACAGG